This 253-nucleotide ribosomal RNA is filed under the name uncultured bacterium. Its description in RNAcentral is "partial 16S ribosomal RNA". It matches the Rfam family "Bacterial small subunit ribosomal RNA", at positions 524 to 776 of the family's 1533-position model. The record is from RNAcentral.
UACAGAGGUCUCAAGCGUUGUUCGGAUUCAUUGGGCGUAAAGGGUGCAUAGGUGGCGCCGUAAGUCAGGUGUGAAAUUUCGGAGCUUAACUCCGAAACUGCAUUUGAUACUGCGGUGCUUGAGGACUGGAGAGGAGACUGGAAUUCACGGUGUAGCAGUGAAAUGCGUAGAUAUCGUGAGGAAGACCAGUGGCGAAGGCGGGUCUCUGGGCCGAUACUGACGCUGAGGAGCGAAAGCGUGGGGAGCGAACAGG